AUCGUAAUGCACACCUGUAAUCCCAGCUACUGGGGAGGCUGAGACAGGAGAAUCACUUGAACCCAGGAGGUGGAGGUUGCAGUGAGCCAAGGUCGCACCACUGCACUCCAGCCUGGGCAACACAGCAAGACUCCAUCUCAAAAGAAAAAAAAAAGAAAAGUAUUUUAAUAUCAAAGAAGAAGGAAGAGGGCCAGAAAGAAGAGAUAGGGCUGAAAAAAGAAGGCAGGAAACAAGCAGAAUGUUUCCAAAGAGUCCCAUGAACUAUUCAGAAAACAGUUGUUUUGUUUUGUUUUGUUUUGAGACGGAGUCUUGCUCUGUCACCCAGGCAGGAGUGCAGUGGCAUGAUCUCGGCUCACUGCAACCCCACCUCCUGGGUUCAAGUGAUUCUUCUGCCUCAGCCUCCUGAGUAGCUGGGAUUAUAGGUACACGCCACCAUGCCCAGCUAAUUUUUGUAUUUUUAGUAGAGACGGGGUUUCAACAUAUUGGCCAGGCUGGUCUCAAACUCCUGACCUCAUGAUCCACUCACUUUGGCCUCCCAAAGUGCUGGGAUUACCGCGCCCGGCCAAGAAUUUUGUCUUUAAAGGAGUUGACAGUGGGGUGUGGACCGUGUAGCCGAGACAGCUUGCAGGGUGGUUGUGCUCACCCCGCAUCAAGGUUGCUAAGCUGCUGUGAUGGAAUCCUGGAGCUGCUGAAGGACACCUCAUCUCUUUGUGGGAAGCAUCUGCUUGAGGAUUAAGGGAAUGCAGAAAAAAAGUGGAGUAGAGAGAUGGAGGAAGAUGACUUUCGAGGACAUUGUGUGAGCACCUGGAUCUAACUGUGCCUGAAGCAAAACUCAAACCCUGGACUCUCAAUGUAUUGGCUCUCAGUUCCAA
RNAcentral lists this long non-coding RNA (872 nucleotides) under Homo sapiens (human). Its description in RNAcentral is "non-protein coding lnc-LSR-1:4". The record is from RNAcentral. Lineage: Eukaryota; Metazoa; Chordata; Mammalia; Primates; Hominidae.